This 448-nucleotide ribosomal RNA is filed under the name uncultured bacterium. Its description in RNAcentral is "bacterial SSU rRNA". It matches the Rfam family "Bacterial small subunit ribosomal RNA", at positions 330 to 794 of the family's 1533-position model. The record is from RNAcentral.
GCCAGACUCCUACGGGAGGCAGCAGUGGGGAAUAUUGCACAAUGGGGGGAACCCUGAUGCAGCGACGCCGCGUGAGUGAAGAAGUAUUUCGGUAUGUAAAGCUCUGUCAGCAGGGAAGAAGAAAGACGGUACCUGACCAAGAAGCCCCGGCUAACUACGUGCCAGCAGCCGCGGUAAUACGUAGGGGGCAAGCGUUAUCCGGAUUUACUGGGUGUAAAGGGAGCGUAGACGGCGAUGCAAGCCAGAUGUGAAAGCCCGGGGCUCAACCCCGGGACUGCAUUUGGAACUGUGUGGCUGGAGUGUCGGAGAGGCAGGCGGAAUUCCUAGUGUAGCGGUGAAAUGCGUAGAUAUUAGGAGGAACACCAGUGGCGAAGGCGGCCUGCUGGACGAUGACUGACGUUGAGGCUCGAAAGCGUGGGGAGCAAACAGGAUUAGAUACCCUGGUACC